GUCGAACGAUGAUGCCCAGCUUGCUGGGCGGAUUAGUGGCGAACGGGUGAGUAAUACGUGAGUAACCUGCCCUUGACUCUGGGAUAAGCCUGGGAAACUGGGUCUAAUACUGGAUACUACCGUCCACCGCAUGGUGGGUGGUGGAAAGGGUUUUACUGGUUUUGGAUGGGCUCACGGCCUAUCAGCUUGUUGGUGGGGUAAUGGCUCACCAAGGCGACGACGGGUAGCCGGCCUGAGAGGGUGACCGGCCACACUGGGACUGAGACACGGCCCAGACUCCUACGGGAGGCAGCAGUGGGGAAUAUUGCACAAUGGGCGGAAGCCUGAUGCAGCGACGCCGCGUGAGGGAUGACGGCCUUCGGGUUGUAAACCUCUUUCAGUAGGGAAGAAGCGAGAGUGACGGUACCUGCAGAAGAAGCGCCGGCUAACUACGUGCCAGCAGCCGCGGUAAUACGUAGGGCGCAAGCGUUGUCCGGAAUUAUUGGGCGUAAAGAGCUCGUAGGCGGUUUGUCGCGUCUGCUGUGAAAGCCCGGGGCUCAACCCCGGGUCUGCAGUGGGUACGGGCAGACUAGAGUGCAGUAGGGGAGACUGGAAUUCCUGGUGUAGCGGUGAAAUGCGCAGAUAUCAUGAG
This 631-nucleotide ribosomal RNA is filed under the name Kocuria sp. SCULCB HNA-7. Its description in RNAcentral is "bacterial SSU rRNA". It matches the Rfam family "Bacterial small subunit ribosomal RNA", at positions 61 to 703 of the family's 1533-position model. The record is from RNAcentral. Lineage: Bacteria; Bacillati; Actinomycetota; Actinomycetes; Micrococcales; Micrococcaceae.